UACAGAGGUCCCAAGCGUUGUUCGGAUUCACUGGGCGUAAAGGGCGCGUAGGUGGCGGGGUAAGUCUGAUGUGAAAUCUCCGAGCUUAACUCGGAAACUGCAUCGGAUACUGCCUUGCUCGAGGGUUGGAGGGGGGACUGGAAUACUUGGUGUAGCAGUGAAAUUCGUAGAUAUCGAGAGGAACACCGGUGGCGAAGGCGGCCUUCUGGACAGUGACUGACGCUGAGACGCGAAAGCGUGGGGAGCAAACAGG
Molecule: ribosomal RNA, 253 nt
Filed under: uncultured bacterium
Lineage: Bacteria
Description: partial 16S ribosomal RNA
Rfam family: Bacterial small subunit ribosomal RNA
Source: RNAcentral